CGUUCCCAAGCAUAUUUGAGACACAGGUUUGGAAACAAAAAUGACUUCACCGGUUAAAUAUUGUUAGAUCCUAUAGUAUAUCAAAGUCACCCAGUGGAAGGGGAAGCUGAGCUGCCUCCUGGUUCAGCUGGAGAUGAUGGGAGCAGGCAAACACUUCCCUGGGCUGCAGUGCCAGCAGAAAGGAGCUCAGGACCGUGGCCAACUCCCUCUGCAAGGGCUUCUGGACCUGCCUCAGCCUGAGGAGAGACACUGGAACAGUGAGAGGCCACAAAAUCCACUUGCCUUGAAAAGGGAAGAUUGAGGAAGGGGUUUAUAGAAAUUUCUCUGAAUAUCUGCA
Manacus vitellinus (golden-collared manakin) is the source of this 337-nucleotide long non-coding RNA. RefSeq lists it as uncharacterized. The transcript has 3 exons. The record is from RefSeq and is a predicted model, not a curated record. NCBI's taxonomy places the organism in Eukaryota, Metazoa, Chordata, Aves, Passeriformes, Pipridae.